ACCACUCCCAGCAGGGAUGGCGUCGGGGCCCCCAGGGCUGAGCUGGCUCUGCCCGCCGGGGUUUAUCCCUUUAUUUCCCUCCUGCCUGCCGGAGAAAGCGGCUCCAUCAGCUCCGGCAUCAUCUCUCCAUCCUGAGCGAGCCGUGCCGGGCUGGGAGGGGAGGGGAGGGAGCAGCUGGAUCCCAGAAUCCCUGUCUGAGCCACCGCAGGGAGCCCCUUCCCAACACCUCCUCCCCGUCCCAGCACCUCCUCCCUCACCAUGCUGGAUAUUUUCAUCCUGAUGUUCUUUGCCAUCAUCGGCCUCGUGAUCCUCUCCUACAUCAUUUACAUGCUCUAGGGAGAUGCCGGGGGGGGAUGCAGCUCAGCAUGGGCCUCGCAGCCCCAGCGCCAGCCAGCCUCGUGUCCCUCGGAGCCUUCUGGAACAGCGUUAACCCCUGCGGGCCCAGCGCAGAGCACGGAGGGGGAAUGGGGAGGGGGCUGUGAGGGGACCCCCCCCCUGCUGGGACCUGAGCCCUCUGCGUGGUGGAUCCCCUCGGGAUGAGGUCGGUCCUCUGGGUUUCACUUUCGGGAGAGCACUUCUAUUUUUAAUGAAAAACCACGUGGAAGGAAAUGGAAUAAAGAGGAACCACGCGGUG
This is a long non-coding RNA of Myiozetetes cayanensis, 634 nucleotides long. RefSeq lists it as uncharacterized. NCBI's taxonomy places the organism in Eukaryota, Metazoa, Chordata, Aves, Passeriformes, Tyrannidae. The record is from RefSeq and is a predicted model, not a curated record. The transcript is spliced from 2 exons.